ACGUGUUUUCGAGAAAUACGCAUUCAAAGUUUUAGUUAUGUUAUUUUGUCCUACUCCGGAGGCAAAAAAAUCGUUGAUAUUGCAACUGAUAUCGCGGUAUUAGUGUUCAAUGAUGGCCUGAGAUGCCUCAUGAAAGUUCUGGAGACGUUGGGGAUAAUCAUCGACCCAAAUUGUUUCAACUUUUGCGUUAGACCGACGCAGCG
Molecule: long non-coding RNA, 203 nt
Organism: Diprion similis
Lineage: Eukaryota; Metazoa; Arthropoda; Insecta; Hymenoptera; Diprionidae
Exons: 6
Source: RefSeq, a predicted model, not a curated record